This 2315-nucleotide long non-coding RNA is filed under the name Macaca fascicularis (crab-eating macaque). Its description in RNAcentral is "lncRNA (ENSMFAG00000064435.1)". The record is from RNAcentral. Lineage: Eukaryota; Metazoa; Chordata; Mammalia; Primates; Cercopithecidae.
UUCAUACAUUAAAGAGAUUUAAUUGACUCACAUGGCUGGGGAGGUGUCAGGAAACUUACCAUCACGGCAGAAGUUGAAGGGGAAACAGGCACCUUUUCCACAAUGCGGCUGGAAGGAGAAUGAAUGAAGGAUGAACUACCCAACGCUCUUAAAACCAUCAGAUCUCUAGAAAACUCACUCUGAGGAGAACAGUAUGGGGAAGCACGCCAUGACCCAGCUCCCUCCACCUUGUCUCUCGGGUGACAUAUGGGGGUUAUGAGCAUAACGAGGAUUAUAAGUGAAGACGAGAUUUGGGUGGGAACACAAAGUGUAAACCAUAGCACCUUCUUUGGAGCUCAUCUAUUUUUGGGUGUUUGUGUACCUGUGUUUUGGGAAAAAUAAUAAAUGCAGACUAAAAUCAAUAACCCCUCCGUACCCAUUACCAGCAUCCACAAUGCUCACCUUCUGCCACUUUCUCAUCUAUGCCCCCAUCUGAGAUUAGAUGAUAGCUCAUCGUCUUUUAGAUUUUUAGGUAAAACUUACGUUAAUAGGGGCAAAUCCCAUCUGUCCAGUUUUGAAAAUGUAAAACCACCUUGUGAAAAAUUAUGUUGUUAGCAGCGGAAUGUAUGUGAGUCACAGGGCAUGAAAAUGUUAGUGGUGGCAAAUCCAUGUGGCUCUGCAGCAACCUCAGUUCUUGCCCCCUCAGAAGAAAGAAUUCGACUGAGGGGCAUAAGGCAGAAGGAGAGACCAAGGCGAGCAGCAGGAGUGGAAGGAAGGAACCGCACUGGGAAGAGGGCAAAGUGGGCAACUUAAGACAUGAAGUAAGCAGCUGGAUCUUCGACGUGGGUUUUAUGUGGUGGCUUCUGCGUCUUCCGCCCCUUCUCCGCAUUCGUCUCUUGGCGUGGGCUAUCUGCAAACACGGUGGUCUGCCAGCACUUGGGAGUGGCUGCGUGCAGGGUGUUUGCUGGAGCUCUGCGCGUGCUCACUUGGGGCCUUCUUCCCCUACCAGCUGAAAGCUCGUGGGAGGUCAUUCGCCAGUUAAACCAGCCAUUUGACCUCCUCAUGCGCAUGCUGGAGCCACUCACCCAACUCCUGAGGUCUUACUGGGAAGCUGCUGACCACGUUUCGGGUUUUUUCUAUCUACUGGGAGACUGCCUUUCCUUGGCACUGGUCACUACCAAUUAUUAUUUUAGAGAAACGGUGUAACAACCAUCUGACCAUCACCUGAGGGGUCGCCUGACAUUCCUGGUUGGGGGUGGGAAGCGCUUUCCUGUCCUGCUGAAGCUGCAGGAGCUACCUACUGUAACAGUAUCAGUGAGAAGAAUUAUUGAGACUGUGAACUGAGCUAACCCACCCCCCAUCUUGACUUUCCCUUAAUUAUUCCUGGUUUUUGGGGCCAAACUGACUUUGAGAGACAUAUAGGCUAUUGUUUCAAUGACAAUAGGCCUUGUCCAAAACUCAGCGGCUCGUCAUGAUUGGGGACUAAACUCUGAUUUUUUUAUCUUGCCCAAAUUCCUAUCUAAGGGGCUUGGGAAGCCAUGCCCUACAAACCAUAAAUUCUCAUCAGAUGGGUUUUAUUUUACCAUGUAUAUCAUGACUUACUUUCCAACCUGACCCUGGCAUAACGUUACGAUACGAGGAAGAAAAUAAAAAACAUUUUACCCCGAAACAUGUUUCUUUGCCAUAUUUUGAAAUGGCCCUGUAAAGCCGUUCUUUGUGGAGGGAAAUUUGCAUCUGUAAAGAAUCUCUAUUGGCCGGGCGCGGUGGCUCAAGCCUGUCAUCCCAGCACUUUGGGAGGCCGAGACGGGUGGAUCACGAGGUCAGGAGAUCGAGACCAUCCUGGCUAACACAGUGAAACCCCGUCUCUACUAAAAAAUACAGAAAACUAGCCGGGUGAGGUGGCGGGCGCCUGCAGUCCCAGCUACUCGGGAGGCUGAGGCAGGAGAAUGGCGUGAACCCUGGAGGCGGAGCUUGCAGUGAGCUGAGAUCCGGCCACUGCACUCCAGCCUGGGCGACAGAGCGAGACUCUGUCUCAAAAAAAAAAAAAAAAGAAUAUUAGCUAAAUCUUUUUCUUCCAGACCCUCCCAGUCCUGAGGAGAUUAACAGUUGAGCACCUUUUAAAGAUCUGAAUAGGGAACAUUUGUCAUCUAUUGUCUCCUAAGGACAGCCACUAUAAGACUUCAAAAGAACUUCGGUCUCCACAAUCUUUAUUUUAACCUGUACACCCCCUUUCUACCAAUCCCAGGUCUUUAGACAAACUCAGUGACUCAAUCAUCAACGAGAGGAUUAAAUUCACCUGCAGGCUGGAGCGCUGCCGCCGCCCCCCCCCCCCCCCA